This 450-nucleotide ribosomal RNA is filed under the name uncultured bacterium. RNAcentral describes it as "bacterial SSU rRNA". It matches the Rfam family "Bacterial small subunit ribosomal RNA", at positions 354 to 796 of the family's 1533-position model. The record is from RNAcentral.
GUGGGGAAUCUUGGACAAUGGGCGCAAGCCUGAUCCAGCAAUGCCGCGUGGGUGAAGACGGCCUGCGGGUUGUAAAGCCCUUUUGGCGGGGAAGAAAGCGUCGCGGUGAACAGCCGCGGCGGGUGACGUUACCCGCUGAAGAAGCACCGGCCAACUCCGUGCCAGCAGCCGCGGUAAUACGGAGGGUGCGAGCGUUAAUCGGAAUUACUGGGCGUAAAGCGCACGUAGGCGGUCGUUCAAGUCCGUUGUGAAAGCCCCGGGCUCAACCUGGGAAUGGCAAGGGCGACUGAGCGACUGGAGUGUAACAGAGGACCGUGGAAUUCCCGGUGUAGCGGUGAAAUGCGUAGAGAUCGGGAAGAACACCGAUGGCGAAGGCAGCGGUCUGGGUUAACACUGACGCUGAGGUGCGACAGCGUGGGGAGCAAACAGGAUUAGAAACCCCAGUAGUCC